GGUUACUGCUAUCGGUGUUUGCUAAGCCAUGCGAGUCAAAUGUUCUUUGUGAACAUGGCAUACUGCUCAGUAACACGUGGAUAACCUGCCCUCAGGUCUGGCAUAACCCCGGGAAACUGGGGAUAAUUCCGGAUAACGCAUAUAUGCUGGAAUGCUUUAUGCGUCAAAGGUCCUCCGCCUGAGGAUGGGUCUGCGGCCUAUCAGGUAGUAGCGGGUGUAAUGUACCUGCUAGCCGACGACGGGUACGGGUUGUGAGAGCAAGAGCCCGGAGAUGGAUUCUGAGACAUGAAUCCAGGCCCUACGGGGCGCAGCAGGCGCGAAAACUUUACAAUGCGGGAAACCGUGAUAAGGGGACACCGAGUGCCAGCAACAUUUGCUGGCUGUCCAGGUGUGUAAACUACACCUGUUAGCAAGGGCCGGGCAAGACCGGUGCCAGCCGCCGCGGUAACACCGGCGGCCCGAGUGGUGAUCGUUUUUAUUGGGUCUAAAGGGUCCGUAGCCGGUUUAGUCAGUCCUCCGGGAAAUCUGUCAGCUCAACUGAUAGGCUAUCGGGGGAUACUGCUAGACUUGGAACCGGGAGAGGUAAGAGGUACUACAGGGGUAGGAGUGAAAUCUUGUAAUCCCUGUGGGACCACCUGUGGCGAAGGCGUCUUACCAGAACGGGUUCGACGGUGAGGGACGAAAGCUGGGGGCACGAACCGGAUUAGAUACCCGGGUAGUCCCAGCCGUAAACGAUGCUCGCUAGGUGUCAUGCAUGGUGCGACCGUGUAUGGUGCCGUAGGGAAGCCGUGAAGCGAGCCACCUGGGAAGUACGGCCGCAAGGCUGAAACUUAAAGGAAUUGGCGGGGGAGCACAACAACGGGUGGAGCCUGCGGUUU
This 878-nucleotide ribosomal RNA is filed under the name uncultured archaeon. RNAcentral describes it as "bacterial SSU rRNA". It matches the Rfam family "Archaeal small subunit ribosomal RNA", at positions 21 to 903 of the family's 1478-position model. The record is from RNAcentral.